GACGAACGCUGGCGGCGUGCUUAACACAUGCAAGUCGAACGGAAAGGCCUGCUUUCCCUUGUGGAUUGCGGGUACUCGAGUGGCGAACGGGUGAGUAACACGUGAGUGAUCUGCCCCCAACUUGGGUAUAAGCCUGGGAAACUGGGUCUAAUUCCCGAUAGGACUGCAGGGUGGUGCCUGUGGUGGAAAACGAUUUUCUAGUGGUUGGGGAUGAGCUCGCGGCCUAUCAGCUUGUUGGUGGGGAAAUGGCCUACCAAGGCGGCGACGGGUAGCCGGCCUGAGAGGGUGGACGGCCACAUUGGGACUGAGAUACGGCCCAGACUCCUACGGGAGGCAGCAGUGGGGAAUAUUGCACAAUGGGCGGAAGCCUGAUGCAGCGACGCCGCGUGGGGGAUGACGGCCUUCGGGUUGUAAACUCCUUUCGACCGCGAGGAAGCCACCUGGUUGGAAGGGUGGUGACGGUAGUGGUAGAAGAAGCACCGGCUAACUACGUG
Molecule: ribosomal RNA, 494 nt
Filed under: uncultured bacterium
Lineage: Bacteria
Description: partial 16S ribosomal RNA
Rfam family: Bacterial small subunit ribosomal RNA
Source: RNAcentral